Molecule: transfer RNA, 76 nt
Filed under: Vitreoscilla sp.
Lineage: Bacteria; Pseudomonadati; Pseudomonadota; Betaproteobacteria; Neisseriales; Neisseriaceae
Also listed under: 31 other names
Description: tRNA-Ala
Rfam family: tRNA
About the family: Transfer RNA (tRNA) molecules are approximately 80 nucleotides in length. Their secondary structure includes four short double-helical elements and three loops (D, anti-codon, and T loops).
Source: RNAcentral
GGGGGCGUAGCUCAGCUGGGAGAGCGUCGCGUUCGCAAUGCGAAGGUCAGGAGUUCGAUCCUCCUCGUCUCCACCA